Molecule: long non-coding RNA, 529 nt
Organism: Odocoileus virginianus texanus
Lineage: Eukaryota; Metazoa; Chordata; Mammalia; Artiodactyla; Cervidae
Source: RefSeq, a predicted model, not a curated record
UCCACCCUGUUCUCCCAACUCAUAACCAAGUCUUGGUCACUGAGAUUGGGCAAUGCUGUCCCUGGCUGACGGUCUCCCUGCUUCCAAUCUUUUUCUGCAUGGGCCUGGCUGACUCCACCCCUACAGGAACUAGCUAGGCUGGGCCAGCCAGUGGAGGAGAAGCUGGAGAGGUGGGCAGACAGGCUGUGCUGAGAAUGUUGAUCUUCAGAGCAGUAGGGAGCCAUGUAAGAUAUGUGAGCAGGGCAGCAACAUAAGCAGAUCUGGUGUCUAAGUGCUCAUGUUGAAGCUGCUGGAGGACUGCCUGAAGAAGCAGGGCACUCAGGGAGCAUGGAUUAAAUUGACUGGAAAGGCUACAGGGAACCGGGUUCCACGGAGCCCACCAGGAUACUGAAACUGAAGCACCACGGAGUGAAUGAACUUGCCCAAGGUCACACCAUGGACAGGAUGGUCAGCGAGAAGCUUGCUGGAGACGGCGGCGGCGGCGGCGGCGGCGGCCCGAAGAAGUGGAGCGCAGAGAGCAAGCCCGGCG